Molecule: ribosomal RNA, 468 nt
Filed under: uncultured bacterium
Lineage: Bacteria
Description: bacterial SSU rRNA
Rfam family: Bacterial small subunit ribosomal RNA
Source: RNAcentral
GACGAACGCUGGCGGCGUGCCUAACACAUGCAAGUCAACUUGACUGAAGGAGCAAUCUGACAGUAGAGUGGCGCAAGGGUGCGUAACGCGUAAGUAACUUGCCCAAGGUAAGGAAUAACGUCGAGAAAUCGGCGCUAAUACCUCAUAAUGCAGCGGAUCCGCAUGGAUAUGUUGUUAAAGGUUUACCGCCUUGGGAUAGGCUUGCGUCUGAUUAGCUAGUUGGUGUGGUAACGGCACACCAAGGCUACGAUCAGUAACUGGUCUGAGAGGAUGAUCAGUCACACUGGAACUGAGACACGGUCCAGACUCCUACGGGAGGCAGCAGUGAGGAAUAUUGGGCAAUGCUCGAAAGAGUGACCCAGCAACGCCGCGUGGAGGAUGAAGGUAUUCUAUAUCGUGAACUCCUGUGAGAGCAGACGAAAGACAGAUUAUAAUCUGGAUGACUGUAUGCUCAGAGGAAGCCCCGGC